Long non-coding RNA from Gadus morhua (Atlantic cod), 1967 nucleotides. The record is from Ensembl. NCBI's taxonomy places the organism in Eukaryota, Metazoa, Chordata, Actinopteri, Gadiformes, Gadidae.
AAAACCGAACAUGUUUUGAGUUCUUCGCCGGAAUCCCGUUGAGUGAGAGGCCAGGUGUAGCUUGAGUGUAACCACUCAAGUUGUUGUCACGUAAUGUGCACUGCCUUGGUCAUUUUACUUGACGCAGCCAGACGGCUGCCCAACAGCCCAGGUCAUAGUUAUUCGAGGUAAUUUGAGUCAACUCUGGAGGAAUGGUCGCCCCCCCCUGGUCUAGUCCUCCCCCCGGCUUCCUGCUUCUGCCUUAAUGGCUUGUAUAUUCUGGAGAACAGCAUUCGUAGAGACCGGCUGGCAGAGAUUCUGGAACGACGGGGAAAGGAAUACAAGAAACACCAUGCCAGGAACGCAUCGCCACUAGUACCAGGGGCAUUGGAUUCAGAUGAGAAAGGGGAUAAGCUCGAGUUUGAAUACACUCCUCUUAGCUCCAUCCAACUCUCCACUGCAGUAUCCCAUUCAGGGUUUCACAGUUCGCCCCAUGGUCCCCACUCUCAUUCCAGGUAUCACUAAAUGGUGCCAAAGGUGUGCUCCGUCUAGGGACCCCAAGUGAAGCAGAGUGUCGAAGUUGCCUUAUUAGGUCCUCCACAGUCGCCCCAUCAGUCCCUGGCAGUCUGGUCCCUGGAGCAGCUGGCCCUGGCAAAAGUUAUUCCUUCACUGUUGACCCCUGACUGACUGGCCCUCGGCACACAAAUCCCUGGAUCACCCGCCACUGGAUCACCUGCCCCUGAAUCACCUGCCCCUGGCAAUGUGGCCUCUUGAUUGCUCUCUCUGUCUCCUGUGAUGUCCUUUUCAACGCUCUUGAAAUCCACCUAAAUUUCUCCCUCAAUCUCUGUAACAAUUACAAGGUAAUGUUGCUGUUAUAUGUAUUUUGCCUUUGCAUUUGCAACUACUGUCAUCUCCAAUGUAAGAAAAUGAAUUAAAGCAAAACAUUUCUGUAAUGUGAAUUAAAUCAUCUGCCACAAUCAGAAACCAAUACAAUUUAUAAAAUGGAUCUACCGGCAAUUGUUAAUUGGGUAGAAAUGUGUCGAUUAUCUACAUUGUGUGCAAAUCCUCAGAGAAUCCCUGCCUUCUGGUUGUUUUUUAAACUGAAUGUACAAAUAUGAAUUAUGUAAUCUCAUUAGGAGUGUAGUCUAUCCUUGAAUUACAUGAAAUGGGGAAUAUUGUUAGCUGCAUGGAUCAUACCGAAGUUUAAUUUGGCGCAAUAUGUGUGGUCCGUUGCACUUGGUUCCGGAGGCACCCUCACAGAAGGGGGUUUCCUCCUCUUCGGUUUAGGUCGAUGGAUGAAAACUGUUGGGCCUGCAUCGGGCCUCAACUUCAACAUCCUAUCUACUUUUGAGGCUUUGAAUUGGUCAUUUUCAAAGUCCUGGUAGGCUUGUAAGAUCAGUUUCCAUUGCACUUCAAAUAUCAUUGGAAAGUCAUAAUUCUCUACACUUAGAAUUAUUAUGCCCUUUGAAAUGCUAACAAGUGAUCUGAACAUUACGUUACAUCGUUUUUGACUGUUGCUGACUGUCAAUAAGUUUUGACGGCUGACCAUUGCCAUCCAUUUCUCCCUGCGCUCUUGGUCCUUGGGGAAGCCGUGAUAACCCUUCUCGGACCGAUUGGAGCAUCCAAAUGCUGCACAGCCAACCAUGGUAUGACCAUUGAUCUAUAAAAUGUUAGUUGUAACCAAUGAACCAUGACACCAUUGAAGAUCACAGAGCGGGUAACAACUGUUCCUCAACCACUCAUGCCCCGACUUUUGAGAAUAGAUUAGAGGUCAGAGUUCAUGACCAAACGAAGAUCCUCCCUCCUAAACCCAUUUUGACUUUGCUCAGGGCUAUUCUAAGUAUUGUAAUGGCAUAAAGUAUAGUAUAUUUGCAACGUUAUAUGUUAAUGGUUUGCCCUAUAGUGUUCCCUGCUGUGUCCAUUGUUGAAUCUGUUCACACAAUCGCAAUCACUUGUUCUUGUCACACUAAUUGUUUAAUAAAAAAAAA